This is a long non-coding RNA of Mytilus californianus (California mussel), 1693 nucleotides long. RefSeq lists it as uncharacterized. The transcript is spliced from 4 exons. NCBI's taxonomy places the organism in Eukaryota, Metazoa, Mollusca, Bivalvia, Mytilida, Mytilidae. The record is from RefSeq and is a predicted model, not a curated record.
AGAAAUGAUUCGAAUACAGAUUAUUCAGAGAAAAAUAACAAACCUGAAGAUGAUUGUACAGAAAAAUCGUCUAAAUCAGUGAGCAGAAGAAACGAAAUAAGGUGCAUACAACGGAUGAAUAAAAUAUUAAAAGAAACUAUUCUUAAAAUUAAUGAAACAGAAGUCCUUUCUAUUGAAAAUGAAGAAUUGUCUAAACUUCUGGGAAUAUGCAAAUCCCUCGGAUUAAAAGAGGAAGAAAUAAAUUGUAUCAUUCAAAGAGGAUUACAAGACGAUAAUUUAGAACAUAAAAUCGAAGAAGUGGCGAAGAAUAAAACCAAGCUUCCAGAGUGUUUGCGGUAUGAAUAUUUUGAUGCAAUGGUUUACUACCUCGAGUCAGAUCGGAAUGUGGCAACAGAAUUUUGCAAACAGUUGACAUCUUUGGAACUAGAACAUCCACUAAAACCGAUCCUAUACGACGAUUCUCAUUUAGAUCAUGUUACAAGUUCAAAACUCGAACAAUUACAGCUGACUUGCGAUAAUUCUAUGUUCAUUUUUGUACUUGUUACUGAAACUUUUAUUAAGAACAGAACAUUGCCAAAAACUGAUGACCAAUCAACAUUAAAUGGUAAGGAUAGUGACAAGUCAGAUAAACUUGGAAUUGAUAACGAAUUUAAUCGUUUUUUCGAUGAAAUAGUUUAUUAUUGUGGUACGGAAAACAAAAUAAUACCUGUAAGAACAAAACAAGGUUUGCCACUACCAUUUGGAAUAGGCGCUGUGAAAGCAAUUGAUUUCUAUAAUCAAGACGACCAAUACAUCAAAGGGCUUAAUCAUCAAUUUUCGAAAAGUGACGAAGAAAGACGAAAAAAAAAAACACAAUUCGAGAAACAGUUUGAAUGAUUAUCAAAUAUGUCUAUUCCUAAUAUUGUUUAAAAAAGGGGUCACUUAAAAGUAUAAAUUAAAAGAACAAUACAAGAAAAACACAAUGCAAUGAAUGAUGUAUGCGCCAAAAAUUAAAUUGUAUGCAAAUCCGCUUAAAAUCGGUCACUUUGUAAUACUAAAAUGUUAUGUUAUAGUGAAACCAUGUGAUCACACCAUUCUGAAAAAAGGGUUAAUUAAAAUCCUCAUCUAGAUUUGAAAAUUACCUUUAUAUUAACGAAAUACACACAAAGAUUUAAAAGACCCCGCAAAUCAUCAAAUAGUCGAUAUAUGGUCCAAAUAUACUAGUAAUCCCUAGUGUGGAAAAUGUAUUACUUGCCAUUUUUUUCAUACACAUUUUCAAUUAAUUACUCCUUGUUUUAUGUCUCAAAUAAAAAGUAGGGAGAUGAUAUUACACUUAAAAAAUUAACGGUACGAAUUUUAAGGUUAAGUUGUAAUUUGUUCCAGUUAAUAUAAAAUUAGUUCGUCUGAAGCUGUCAAACUGAAUUACCUCUGAACUUAAAAUUGUCCAUAUUUUAGUUAGAGCUGAUGAAGUUUUCUAUAAUUUUUUAUAUGACUUGUCCAAAAAGUAGUACAUCACACUUUAAACAUAUUAUUGGGAUAAAGCCGGUGAGAUUUUUUUAAUUUGUCUAAAAGAAAUGCACUACGAAAUAAAUCAUGUGUUCUCGGGCCAUAUGAAUACUUCGAACCGUAUAUCGGUCUUAAAAUUUUGGUUCCUUCGGCGUCGUGUCGUCGUUAACAUUUAAGUUCAGUCUGGGGUAAAAUUGUAUAGACAUAA